This 1399-nucleotide ribosomal RNA is filed under the name Candidatus Phytoplasma mali. Its description in RNAcentral is "16S ribosomal RNA". It matches the Rfam family "Bacterial small subunit ribosomal RNA". Lineage: Bacteria; Bacillati; Mycoplasmatota; Mollicutes; Acholeplasmatales; Acholeplasmataceae. The record is from RNAcentral.
UUAGACGAGGAUAACAGUUGGAAACGACUGCUAAGACUGGAUAGGAAGUUUUAAGGCAUCUUGAAACUUUUAAAAGACCCGCAAGGGUAUGCUAAGAGAUGGGCUUGCGGCACAUUAGUUAGUUGGUAAGGUAACGGCUUACCAAGACUAUGAUGUGUAGCUGGACUGAGAGGUUGAACGGCCACAUUGGGAUUGAGAUACGGCCCAAACUCCUACGGGAGGCAGCAGUAAGGAAUUUUCGGCAAUGGAGGAAACUCUGACCGAGCAACGCCGCGUGAACGAUGAAAUAUUUAGGUAUGUAAAGUUCUUUUAUUAAAGAAGAAAAAAUGAUGGAAAAAUCAUUCUGACGGUAUUUAAUGAAUAAGCCCCGGCUAACUAUGUGCCAGCAGCUGCGGUAAUACAUGGGGGGCAAGCGUUAUCCGGAUUUAUUGGGCGUAAAGGGUGUGUAGGCGGUUUAAUAAGUCUAUGGUAUAAGUUCAACGCUUAACGUUGUGAUGCUAUGGAAACUGUUUGACUAGAGUUGGAUAGAGGCAAGUGGAAUUCCAUGUGUAGCGGUAAAAUGCGUAAAUAUAUGGAGGAACACCAGUAGCGAAGGCGGCUUGCUGGGUCUUAACUGACGCUGAGGCACGAAAGCGUGGGGAGCAAACAGGAUUAGAUACCCUGGUAGUCCACGCCGUAAACGAUGAGUACUAAGUGUUGGGUUAAACCAGUGCUGAAGUUAACACAUUAAGUACUCCGCCUGAGUAGUACGUACGCAAGUAUGAAACUUAAAGGAAUUGACGGGACUCCGCACAAGCGGUGGAUCAUGUUGUUUAAUUCGAAGAUACACGAAAAACCUUACCAGGUCUUGACAUACUCUGCAAAGCUAUAGAAAUAUAGUGGAGGUUAUCAGGGAUACAGGUGGUGCAUGGUUGUCGUCAGCUCGUGUCGUGAGAUGUUGGGUUAAGUCCCGCAACGAGCGCAACCCUUAUCGCUAGUUACCAUCAUUUAGUUGGGCACUUUAGUGAGACUGCCAAUGAUAAAUUGGAGGAAGGUGGGGAUUACGUCAAAUCAUCAUGCCCCUUAUGACCUGGGCUACAAACGUGAUACAAUGGCUGUUACAAAGAGUAGCUGAAGCGUGAGUUUUUAGCAAAUCUCAAAAAAACAGUCUCAGUUCGGAUUGAAGUCUGCAACUCGACUUCAUGAAGUCGGAAUCGCUAGUAAUCGCGAAUCAGCAUGUCGUGGUGAAUACGUUCUCGGGGUUUGUACACACCGCCCGUCAAACCAUGAAAGUUGACAAUACUCGAAACCAGUAGCCUAACUUGCAAAAGAGGGAACUGUCUAAGGUAGGGUCGAUGAUUGGGGUUAAGUCGUAACAAGGUAUCCCUACCGGAAGGUGGGGAUGGAUCACCUCCUUUCU